Molecule: transfer RNA, 76 nt
Filed under: Desulfuromonadales bacterium
Lineage: Bacteria; Pseudomonadati; Thermodesulfobacteriota; Desulfuromonadia; Desulfuromonadales
Description: tRNA-Arg
Rfam family: tRNA
About the family: Transfer RNA (tRNA) molecules are approximately 80 nucleotides in length. Their secondary structure includes four short double-helical elements and three loops (D, anti-codon, and T loops).
Source: RNAcentral
GGCUUCGUAGCUCAGUGGAUAGAGCAACCGCCUCCUAAGCGGUAGGUCGUGCGUUCAAGUCGCACCGAGGCCACCA